GAUGAACGCUGGCGGCGUGCCUAAUACAUGCAAGUCGAGCGAACAGACGAGGAGCUUGCUCCUCUGAUGUUAGCGGCGGACGGGUGAGUAACACGUGGAUAACCUACCUAUAAGACUGGGAUAACUUCGGGAAACCGGAGCUAAUACCGGAUAACAUGUUGAACCGCAUGGUUCAACAGAGAAAGACGGUCUUGCUGUCACUUAUAGAUGGAUCCGCGCCGCAUUAGCUAGUUGGUAAGGUAACGGCUUACCAAGGCAACGAUGCGUAGCCGACCUGUGAGGGUGAUCGGCCACACUGGAACUAGGAAACGGUCCAGACUCCUACGGGAGGCAGCAGUAGGGAAUCUUCCGCAAUGGGCGAAAGCCUGACGGUGCAACGCCGCGUGAGUGAAGAAGGUCUUCGGAUCGUAAAAGUCUGUUAUUAGGGAAGAACAAAUGUGUAAGUAACUAUGCACGUCUUGACGGUACCUAAUCAGAAAGCCACGGCUAACUACGUG
This 497-nucleotide ribosomal RNA is filed under the name uncultured bacterium. RNAcentral's name for it is "partial 16S ribosomal RNA". It matches the Rfam family "Bacterial small subunit ribosomal RNA", at positions 28 to 507 of the family's 1533-position model. The record is from RNAcentral.